GCACAAGCGGUGGAGCAUGUGGUUUAAUUCGAUGAUACGCGAGGAACCUUACCUGGGCUCAAAUGUAUGUUGACGUAUUCUGAAAGGGAUACUUCUUCGGACAAUAUACAAGGUGCUGCAUGGUUGUCGUCAGCUCGUGCCGUGAGGUGUCGGGUUAAGUCCCAUAACGAGCGCAACCCCUAUCAUUAGUUGCCAUCAGGUCAAGCUGGGGACUCUAAUGAAACUGCCUACGCAAGUAGUGAGGAAGGUGGGGAUGACGUCAAAUCAGCACGGCCCUUACGGCCUGGGCUACACACGUGCUACAAUGGUCGGUACAAAGGGUUGCCAAGCCGCGAGGUGGAGCUAAUCCCAUAAAACCGAUCGUAGUCCGGAUCGCAGUCUGCAACUCGACUGCGUGAAGUCGGAAUCGCUAGUAAUCGUGAAUCAGAAUGUCACGGUGAAUACGUUCCCGGGCCUU
RNAcentral lists this ribosomal RNA (457 nucleotides) under uncultured Sphingobacteriales bacterium. RNAcentral describes it as "bacterial SSU rRNA". It matches the Rfam family "Bacterial small subunit ribosomal RNA", at positions 923 to 1382 of the family's 1533-position model. Lineage: Bacteria; Pseudomonadati; Bacteroidota; Sphingobacteriia; Sphingobacteriales. The record is from RNAcentral.